GUGACCGGCACACUUUAAAGGUACAAUCUAAGCACCAUAACUACUACAGCUUGCCAUAGGAGCUUUUGUUAGUCCUCUUGAGGUAAGCUCUGCACAGCUGGGCUUGGUUCAGAGAGAGCAGGUGGCUACAGAAAGGCGAGAGGCGGAGGAGCUGCGAUCAGUAGACCCCAGGUAAAGAGUUUGCAGUGGUUUUGGGGGUUUCAUUUAAAGUGAAAAGUACUCACAGAGACUCCUACCAUGUUUGCUGAUUGCUUUUUCAAAUCUGGUUUUAGAUCGAUCUUGG
Non-coding RNA from Pelobates cultripes (western spadefoot toad), 283 nucleotides. Lineage: Eukaryota; Metazoa; Chordata; Amphibia; Anura; Pelobatidae. The record is from the annotation of a GenBank genome assembly.